GACCUCAGAUCAGGCAAGACUACCCGCUGAA
This 31-nucleotide ribosomal RNA is filed under the name Craterolophus convolvulus. RNAcentral's name for it is "partial 28S large subunit ribosomal RNA". The record is from RNAcentral. RNAcentral also lists the same sequence under 14 other names. Lineage: Eukaryota; Metazoa; Cnidaria; Staurozoa; Stauromedusae; Craterolophidae.